UACGUAGGGGGCAAGCGUUAUCCGGAUUUACUGGGUGUAAAGGGAGCGUAGACGGCAGCACAAGUCUGGAGUGAAAUCCCAUGGCUUAACCAUGGAACUGCUUUGGAAACUGUGCAGCUGGAGUGCAGGAGAGGUAAGCGGAAUUCCUAGUGUAGCGGUGAAAUGCGUAGAUAUAAGGAAGAACACCAGUGGCGAAGGCGGCCUACUGGACGGUGACUGACGCUGAGGCUCGAAAGCGUGGGGAGCAAACAGG
RNAcentral lists this ribosomal RNA (253 nucleotides) under uncultured Eubacteriales bacterium. Its description in RNAcentral is "uncultured Clostridiales bacterium partial 16S ribosomal RNA". It matches the Rfam family "Bacterial small subunit ribosomal RNA", at positions 524 to 776 of the family's 1533-position model. The record is from RNAcentral. Lineage: Bacteria; Bacillati; Bacillota; Clostridia; Eubacteriales.